AUGGAGUCAGAGCAACUCAAAGGAAGAUGCUCAACUGUUAUGUGCAGUUUUGCUCUAUUUGUCACUUUAGAAGUUCAUUUUUCAGUGUUUGUAAGACCAAAUCAGUUGUUGGUAAAAACAAUGAAAUUUACAGCUAUUUUAACAGGUACGCGUUCGUUUAAGCCAACAGUGAGUUUAAACCUCAGAAGAGAAUUCCUGUGGUUAUAUUACAGCAAAUGCACAUGGAAUCCAUUAUGUAAACCAGCCUGUCAGCACCAUCUGCAGAAGUUUUUUCCAAGUACUUUGCAUCAAAAUGUGGAUAUGUUUUAACGGCUGGAAUUGGAAUUUCAGGGCUUUUUUGUUUUGUUUUAAUUUCAUUACUGAAAAUAUUUCAAAAUUUAGAAUAAAAGAAGUCAAAGUACCUGACA
This 407-nucleotide long non-coding RNA is filed under the name Chrysolophus pictus (golden pheasant). RNAcentral describes it as "lncRNA (ENSCPIG00010003402.1)". The record is from RNAcentral. Lineage: Eukaryota; Metazoa; Chordata; Aves; Galliformes; Phasianidae.